Molecule: long non-coding RNA, 1336 nt
Filed under: Ailuropoda melanoleuca (giant panda)
Lineage: Eukaryota; Metazoa; Chordata; Mammalia; Carnivora; Ursidae
Description: lncRNA (ENSAMEG00000025659.1)
Source: RNAcentral
AUGAAGUGGAACAGGAAGGAGUGUUUGUCGAAUCUGUGUUAUGUGACAGGCACUGUACUAACUGACAUUUCAUUUCUAUGUAUAGGGGCCCUUGCAGGGGUGUUCCUUUGGAAGGGGUAUGAGGGAAAGGAAGGGAAGAGGCUCAAAUGCUUGCACCUGCUAUAUUGCCACAGUGAUCAGUCUGGUCAUCCAGUGCACCAGUCAAAAGAUUCCCCAGAAUAGAAGUGGCAGAAUCGGGCAGAAUGGCUAAGAUGGAAACUUCAGGAAGAAGACUUCAGGUUGUCAGAAUCCCCCUAAGCUGAAGAAGCCACAUCAGCAUUCCUGGCCUCCACGAGGGGACUCCUAGAUAAUCACACGAACACUUCCCAGAGGGCUCGACGGUAAUGAGGCCCACCCUUCCCAACAGGAUUGUUUUCUGUGCCGCUUUCUCUGUCUCCCCCGGCUGUCCAGCUGCGUCGUGACUACAGCGAAAACCUGGUGUGUUUCAGACAUGGUGGGCAGCGUGGGUGGGCCACAAUGGUGUCCCCCACCUUCAGCUCCUGAGCAUUGUGGGCAGAGACUUUGUCUGCUUUGCAACCUGUUUCCACCCCUCAUACUGCAGAUACCUGUGUGUCCACGAGGACACGUCACCAGCAUGGAGUAAAUCCUGCUAAAUGACACAAUGACCUGUUGAGCAAGUGGAUAAUGAAAGUGACCGGCCUUGAACGUGGACUGUGCAGAUCAGUGUACUAAUUAUGCAAGAAAUCACUGAGAACACUGUGGGAGAAGAACAGAAAGAAACGUUUUCUAGAAAACCCAGUAAUGACCAGAAGAGAUCUGCCACUUUUUUCACAUCCAUUAGAUAACCACGCAGAGCUGAGGUGGGUCCUUGAAGGAAUAUUCUCUGCUUCACCUCCUCUCAUCCUUUGAUUUGAAAUCAUUCCCAUCAUUGAGGUCAAAGGUGUUUGGGGCACCUGAACUGUAUAAUUAAUUUUCUCCUCCAUUUUCUCUUUAUUUAUUAGUUAUAAAUGUAGUCUUUUGCUUACCUAAGAAUGAGGCAUAGGACUAUUUCAAGUCACUUAUUUAUUUACUAUUUUUUUUUAAAGAUUUUAUUUGACAGAGAGAGAUACAGCGAGAGAGGGAACACAAGCAGGGGGAGUGGGAGAGGAAGAAGCAGGCUCCCAGCACAGGAGUCUGAUGCGGGCUCGAUCCCAGAACGCUGGGAUCACGCCCUGAGCCGAAGGCAGACGCUUAAUGACUGAGCCACCCAGGUGCCCCAAUUUAUUUACUAUUUUUUUUUUUUAAAGAUUUUAUUUAUUUAUUUCACAGAUAUAGGGACAGCCAGCGAGAGAGGGAA